Molecule: long non-coding RNA, 137 nt
Organism: Etheostoma spectabile (orangethroat darter)
Lineage: Eukaryota; Metazoa; Chordata; Actinopteri; Perciformes; Percidae
Exons: 3
Source: RefSeq, a predicted model, not a curated record
CCCAAAAAAGAUAUCACAGAGGACAGAGUUCGUUGAACCUGGACCCUAUUUCCCUAUGUUUUUCAGUCUAAGUGACUGACGGGAACAACAACCUUUGACAUUUUUCCAGUUUUUAAGCUGCAGUCGGCAGUGGCAAG